Molecule: long non-coding RNA, 792 nt
Organism: Centrocercus urophasianus (Greater sage-grouse)
Lineage: Eukaryota; Metazoa; Chordata; Aves; Galliformes; Phasianidae
Exons: 4
Source: RefSeq, a predicted model, not a curated record
CUCAGACCCUGUGUUUGGAGUAGUCCUGUGUGGGACCCGGAAUGGCUCCCUUCCUACUCAAGUGGUAAAGCACUGGAUUUGACAGUGUACACCGUCAAGCUUGGAGCGUCCCUAGGCAGCCUGCCUGUGACUUCAGUGGUAAAACUGAUUUUAUGAGAUCUGGCUGUUCCUCUAGAUGCCCUGAUAAGCAGCGCAUAUGUGUGUGAAAGGAAGGGAAACAGGAAUUCCUUUCGGAAGGGUGACAGCUUUAGUAAGACUAAAACAUCCAGGAAAUAUGUUACAGACUCCACUGAUGCUCCUGGCCUCCUAACAAGUACACUAUUCUUGGUGUGUGCUUCCUCUUGUGAUUCUGUUCAGCACUAGCCUCUUUGAUUUCCCCAUUCUUCUUGUUCUGUGCUCCUCUUAGGCAGAGCACUACUGCUCUCUAGUUUUAAAUGAUAAUAAUAUAGAACAACUUCUAAUGCCUCGGAACUCAGAGGCAGUAUAGACAGAUAGAUUAGUUCAACAGGGUGAGAAGCAACGUGGCUUAGUAGAUCAUGUAGGAUGCAACCUUCCUUAUAAGCAACUUUAGAAAUACUAUAGAAGCUAAUAAAGCCAUCCUGAAAGCCCAUUAUUUUGGCAGGCUGAAGAAUUUAACUUGAAGUUCUGAGAGAAGCUACAGUUGUGGAGUGCUAGAUAAGAUGAUAAAGUAUUCAGAAGAAGCUGAACUUCAUGGUAGUAUAGUUGAAGAAAUGUCAUCACGGCACAGAAGUAUUUAAUAAUGGAGAUUUCAAUUGCUCUUCAAACACUAUA